UAUAUAGGGGGUUGCCAGGAAGGUAUCGCAUCCGCCUAGCAGCUCCAAGGUCCGUGGUUCGAUUCCACGGAGGUUCCCGAUGUCCUGGGCUUCCAAUCUUCCACGUCUGCCAGUCGGGUCGAGAAACUUCCCCAUUACGAAGUAAUGGGACGGAUAUUUUGGCAAUGUUUAAUAUAAUAUCCAAUAAAAAAUCUUAAUAAAUUGUUUAUUUUGAUUUAUCGGUGUGAAUGCGUAUUUUGUUACUUGAACACUUUACAACGUACUUUAGCCAUUGGCAUCCUCUGUCGAGAUAUCUCACACAUACUGCUUGAUCAAUAUUUUGUGUAUAUAAGAUUGUAACAUAUAGUCACUCAACUGAAUCUUUUAAUCAUCGUAGUAUUUCUUUCGGCUCUUGUAGGAUUUGAACCCUUAAAUUUCGGCGGUCCAUGCCGAUGCUCUACCACUGAGCCAUAAUUCACAUUAGUAAGUUUUCUAUAUUUUCGUGUUAAUUGAGAUCAACAAAUGUGGACUUAGAAUAAUAUUUGCAGCGUGAUUCAAGAUAAUUUCUUAUUAACAUGUAAAUCCAUCUUAUAGAAAUGCAAUGAAAUUGACAUUCACAUUAAAUUUAUUAACCUUCUGCCGGGAGUUGAACCCGAUACCUUUAGAUCCAUUAUCCAACGUUCUACCAAACAGCUAUGAUCCUUGAAUGCAAGUUAUUCAGGAUUGGAAUUUAAUCGGCGAUAAUUCAAGGACACUCCGGAAUUCUCAGUACAAAAACUGCACAUCAGUGGCCAUCUCAGCAAUGUUGAGAGUCCAAUCCUUAAAA
This is a long non-coding RNA of Daphnia magna, 805 nucleotides long. RefSeq lists it as uncharacterized. The transcript has 2 exons. The record is from RefSeq and is a predicted model, not a curated record. NCBI's taxonomy places the organism in Eukaryota, Metazoa, Arthropoda, Branchiopoda, Diplostraca, Daphniidae.